CGGUCAAUAGAACUCAGUGGCCAAGACAAGGAUUUUGUCAUAUGGAAUUUGAGUCUGUAAUAAUAUUAACAAAAAUAGCUUCGAAGAACAGUAAUGUAACUUACAGGAUCAAUGGGAUGUAAGGGGAUACAACACGGAUUUCUACUGCGUGAAUAAUUAAAAGAAGGACAGUCAUGUGUAUAUGCAAAACUUGUUUACAAUAUUAAACUCAGCGUAGAUGAAUAGUUGCCACCAUCAAUUGCCGAUUUGUAGGUCGCAAAUGCGAUGCGUAGCAGAGACACUAAAACGGAUUUUUUUACCGUAAAAUCACAAUUGACGAUGACAACUCUCUAACCAGUCAGGAUUCUACUUCGUCAAAAUUAUCUCCC
This 368-nucleotide long non-coding RNA is filed under the name Mytilus galloprovincialis (Mediterranean mussel). The record is from RNAcentral. Lineage: Eukaryota; Metazoa; Mollusca; Bivalvia; Mytilida; Mytilidae.